CCACUUGCUCAGGCUACCUCCUACGCCGACCCUUCAGUUGCUCGCCCUCCUCCUACCCCACCCCCACCGGCAUCCAGCGCCUGGCGGAUGGCACCCUCGCCCCUACCGGCAUCUAGCGCCUGCCGGACGGCGGACGGCACCCACGCCGUUCGGGCUAACUGCCGGCCGCCGUCUCGCCUUCGUCGGGCUAACUGCCGGCCACGGCCUCGACCUCCAGCGCCUGCCGGAUGGCAACCACGCCCUUGCCUCCGCCGGGCCGACUGCCGACCGCCAGCCGCGGCCUCCCUCCAAACCCGCACCCCUUUUCCAACCCCGGCACCCAGCCCCCAAACAAUUGAUGCAAUUACUUUUGCGAUUCUUCUAUUCUUCCUCCGUUCUGUCGAUAUUCUCUUCUUCCUCUGUGCUGCCGCCGCGACUCCCAGCUUGCUGCUCCCACGAGUGUUCUACUAUUGGCUGCUGUGCUGGCUUGGUCUUCAUUUCCGCUUACAGAUCCCCCUCCGUUUCGUCAGCCUCUAGCAGGGACAUAUUCCUUCCCUUAUUCCUUUUUGUUCAGUCUCUUUGAAUCCUGCCUUCUCGAUACAUUAAAUUGCUAAUGUUCUUCUUUAUUUGCUUUGAUGCUUCUUAAAUAUUUGCUGAAAUGUUUAGCUAGCAUAUCCAACAUUUUCCAAUUUGGUUUAGGUUAUUACUGAUGUAUAAACCAUUCUAUUCUAAUUUAGUUUACUCUUCCAUUCUAGAUCUCAUUUUGGGACAGGUGCGCUACCUCUUCCUGAUCCUGGAUACGCAAGCCUCAGACGAUCCUCAGACAUGAGCUCAAUGACAAAGCUUGCAGACAUUACUUCAGGGCAGCAAAACUGCAAGGUCUUAGCCCGCAUUACAAGACUAUGGGAUUCUAAAAAUAUGAAUUCUAGAGCUGCGGAUCCCCUCAUUAGCAUUGAUGGUGUCAUCCUUGACGAAGAUGGAAAAAUGGCUCACAUUAGUGUCCCCAAAAAACUUGAAAAACAGUUUCGACCUUCACUCACUCAAGGAUCUGUCUAUAUGUUUGCAAACCCCAUUGCUGUUGAUACAAAACAAAAGGCAUAUAUAUAUCACCAUCAGGACUACAUGCUCCAGUUCCAACACACCUCGACGGUUAAUCGUCUUCAAACACGAGGAGGAACCAUCCCCAGAUUUGCAUUCAAUUUAUGCCCAUUUGAUCAACUUGCAUCAAAAAACAUCCGCUCAAAACCC
Long non-coding RNA from Panicum virgatum (switchgrass), 1227 nucleotides. RefSeq lists it as uncharacterized. The transcript has 3 exons. The record is from RefSeq and is a predicted model, not a curated record. NCBI's taxonomy places the organism in Eukaryota, Viridiplantae, Streptophyta, Magnoliopsida, Poales, Poaceae.